CACGUAGGGGGCAAGCGUUGUCCGGAAUCAUUGGGCGUAAAGAGCUCGUAGGUGGCUCAGUAAGUCGGGUGUGAAACCUCCAGGCUCAACCUGGAGACGCCACCCGAUACUGCUGUGGCUAGAGUCCAGUAGGGGAGUGUGGAAUUCCCGGUGUAGAGGUGAAAUUCGUAGAUAUCGGGAGGAACACCAGUGGCGAAGGCGGCGAUCUGGGAAGAUACUGACGCUGAGGUGCGAAAGCGUGGGGAGCAAACAGG
Molecule: ribosomal RNA, 254 nt
Filed under: uncultured bacterium
Lineage: Bacteria
Description: partial 16S ribosomal RNA
Rfam family: Bacterial small subunit ribosomal RNA
Source: RNAcentral